Molecule: ribosomal RNA, 549 nt
Filed under: Hansenula anomala
Lineage: Eukaryota; Fungi; Ascomycota; Saccharomycetes; Phaffomycetales; Wickerhamomycetaceae
Description: eukaryotic LSU rRNA
Rfam family: Eukaryotic large subunit ribosomal RNA
Source: RNAcentral
GUGAGCGGCAAAGCUCAAAUUUGAAAUCUAGCACCUUCGGUGUUCGAGUUGUAAUUUGAAGAUGGUAACCUUGGGUUUGGCUCUUGUCUAUGUUCCUUGGAACAGGACGUCAUAGAGGGUGAGAAUCCCGUCUGAUGAGAUGCCCAUUCCUAUGUAAGGUGCUAUCGAAGAGUCGAGUUGUUUGGGAAUGCAGCUCUAAGUGGGUGGUAAAUUCCAUCUAAAGCUAAAUAUUGGCGAGAGACCGAUAGCGAACAAGUACAGUGAUGGAAAGAUGAAAAGAACUUUGAAAAGAGAGUGAAAAAGUACGUGAAAUUGUUGAAAGGGAAGGGCAUUAGAUCAGACUUGGUGUUUUACGAUUAUCUUCUCUUCUUGAGUUGUGCACUCGUAUUUCACUGGGCCAGCAUCGAUUCGGAUGGCAAGAUAAUGGCAGUUGAAUGUGGCUUCACUUCGGUGGAGUGUUAUAGCUUCUGCUGAUAUUGCCUGUCUGGAUCGAGGGCUGCGUCUUUUGACUAGGAUGCUGGCGUAAUGAUCUAAUGCCGCCCGUCUUGA